This 149-nucleotide unclassified non-coding RNA is filed under the name soil metagenome. Its description in RNAcentral is "partial internal transcribed spacer 1". The record is from RNAcentral.
ACGAGUUAGGGCCUCUGGCCCCGAACCUCCAACCCUUUGUAUCAAAACCUCGUUGCCUCGGGGAGGCCCUGCCUCACGGCUGGCCCCCCGAUGGACCACUAAACUCUGCAUCUGUAUGACGUCUGAGUAAAGAUUUAAAAUUAAAUCAA